UACCAGAUCUACCAGCACCUUGAUCUUGGACUUCCCAGCCUCCAGAACUGUGAGCUGUACAUUUCUAUUUUUUAAAAGCCAACCAGUUUAUGGUAUUUUUGUUAUAGCAGCCUGAAUGGACACAGUUAAACCUGACUCCAGAAAGUAAAGCAGGCCCCUGUGAAGGAAGGAAGAGGGAGGAAGGAGGAAGGAAGAAGGGGGAGGGAGGAAGGAAGAGGGAAGGAGGGAGAAGGGCGGUGGCCGCACACCCCCACAUCUCAUCCGCCCCUGGUGGGCAGCCUCCCCAAGGGAUUGAUUCCUUCCUCAGCAACAGUUGCUCAGAGUUGAGCACAGGAACUUGCCUUUUUCCAAGUAGCAGACACAGGCCGAGGCACAGAGUGGGGCUGAGGAAAUGUGCCGUGAAUGGAUGGUGAACAGGAAGGGACACUGAAGAAGGAGGCGGUACUGAGAGCAGCCAUCUUGGAGCUUGGAAACGGAGACGCAUGUGAAGCCGUUUGCACAGUAUUUUUCCCUUAAAAUAUGGGUGGGGAACAAGGGGCUGUCAUUUGUCUUUUUCUUUGGGAUGGUGAGCAGUGAGCAGGGCACGCCGCGAGGAGCAAACUGCAGCCCAAGCACACGCGGUCAGCACGCGGAGCACAGGUGGGGAGAAGCGGCUGACGGUGGCGUGGCCCCGCGUACCUGGGUGUGGACGCCCCGCCGCCCCGCAGGGGAAAGCUCCUGGAGUCUGGGGUCUGCUGCCCCGAGCUCUGGGUGUCCAGGACAAUCAUGCUGGCUGUUAGUGAAGAAUGGCCUGGAGCACUGGGUCUCCGCCCCAGCUGCCUGGGAGAAACUGUGUUGAAGGAGCCAUACCCCCUGGCCUCCCCUCCAGACUCCAGACAACCCCAGUCAGCUGGCUGGGAGGGAGGCAGAAGAGAAACAGGGGUGCACCUGGGGCUCCUGCAGGGGUCCAGCCAGGAGAUGGGGGCAACUUGGACAGGGACGAUCCUGGGAAGGGCAGGAGGAGGAGUGAGACCUGGCCUGCCCUCUCCCUAGAGGCUCAUCAGCUCCCUGGAGACAGACACGCCCUGGUUCCUUUCCCUAUGCCUGGAGCCUGGGUACCAGCUAUUGAAAACUGCUUUUCUCCUUGUUCAUUCAAACAUAUUCACACAUAAAGGUUGUCAUUCCUUUUUGUCACUAUUUGACAAAAAUUGGAUCAUACCGUAUACAAUUCUCUGCUAUUUGUUUUGCUCACCUAACAAUAAAUACACUGUGAAAAAUACCUUCAGAUGAGUAGAUAUCAAUCUUGUUCAUUCUUUUUUUUUUUUUUUUUUGAGACAGGGUCUCACUCCCUUGCCCAGGUUGGAGUGCAGUGGUUCAGUCACAGCUCACUGCAGCCUCGCCUCCCAGGCUCAAUCGAUCCUUUCACCUCAGCCUCUCGAGUAGAUGGAACUACAGGCAUGCACCACUGAACCUGGCGAAUUUUCAUAUUUUUUUGUAGAGAUGGGGUUUUGACAUGUUGCCUAGGCUGGUCUUAAAUUCCUAAGCUCAAGAGAUCCGCCUACU
This 1542-nucleotide long non-coding RNA is filed under the name Homo sapiens (human). Its description in RNAcentral is "HSALNT0381476". Lineage: Eukaryota; Metazoa; Chordata; Mammalia; Primates; Hominidae. The record is from RNAcentral.